CUUGUGCAUCGCUCCACCGCUCCGCACCGCGAGGUGUGGGGAGGAAAGUCCGGGCAGCGUAGGGCAGCGUGCUUCUUAACGGGAAGGGGGCCAUUUGGGAACGGCUGGUCCACAGAAAGUGCCGCAGAAAGGGAAACCGCCGAUCGUCGGAGUUGAAGUGAAGGCCCGCCUUCGCCAAGGCUUCAGCGAGGUAAGGAUGAAAAGGUGCGGUAAGAGCGCACCAGUGUCUUGGCGACAAGGCAGCUAGGUAAACCUCACGCGUUGAAAGACCAUGUAUACCGGGUGUUCCGUAUCGCCGGAACGAGGAAAGCCCGUCCUCCCGAUGCAUUUCGGGAUCCGGAGGGUAGGUCGAUCGAUCCUGUCGGUGACGACAGGGCUAGAUAGAUGGUGGAGGCUACGCCCGAAAGGGUGGAGAACAGAACCCGGCUUACAGGUGCACAGGACUU
RNAcentral lists this RNase P RNA (446 nucleotides) under Flavobacteriales bacterium. Its description in RNAcentral is "RNase P RNA component class A". It matches the Rfam family "Bacterial RNase P class A". From Rfam's summary of the family: Ribonuclease P (RNase P) is a ubiquitous endoribonuclease, found in archaea, bacteria and eukarya as well as chloroplasts and mitochondria. Its best characterised activity is the generation of mature 5'-ends of tRNAs by cleaving the 5'-leader elements of precursor-tRNAs. Lineage: Bacteria; Pseudomonadati; Bacteroidota; Flavobacteriia; Flavobacteriales. The record is from RNAcentral.